This 912-nucleotide ribosomal RNA is filed under the name uncultured archaeon. RNAcentral describes it as "bacterial SSU rRNA". It matches the Rfam family "Archaeal small subunit ribosomal RNA", at positions 1 to 923 of the family's 1478-position model. The record is from RNAcentral.
UCCGGUUGAUCCUGCCRGACCCGACUGCUAUCAGAGUGAGAUUAAGCCAUGCGAGUUAACGUAGCAAUACGUGGCGCACGGCUCAGUAACACGUAGUCAACAUGCCCAGAGGACGUGGAUAACCUCGGGAAACUGAGUCUAAACCGCGAUAAGUGAGGAUUUCUGGAAUGGUUCCUGACUAAAAUCUAUAUGGCCUCUGGAUUGGACUGCGGCCGAUCAGGCUGUUGGUGAGGUAAUGGCCCACCAAACCUGUAACCGGUACGGGCUCUGAGAGGAGGAGCCCGGAGAUGGGCACUGAGACAAGGGCCCAGGCCCUAUGGGGCGCAGCAGGCGCGAAACCUCUGCAAUAGGCGAAAGCCUGACAGGGUUACUCUGAGUGACUUUCGCUAAGAAAGUCUUUUGGCACCUCUAAAAAGGGUGCAGAAUAAGGGGUGGGCAAGUCUGGUGUCAGCCGCCGCGGUAAUACCAGCACCCCGAGUGGUCGGGACGAUUAUUGGGCCUAAAGCAUCCGUAGCCGGUUCUGCAAGUCCCCCGUUAAAUCCAGCUGCUCAACAGAUGGGCCGCGGAGGAUAUUACAGAGCUAGGAGGCAGGAGAGGCAAGCGGUACUCAGUGGGUAGGGGUAAAAUCCGUUGAUCCAUUGAAGACCACCAGUGGCGAAGGCGGCUUGCCAGAAUGCGCUCGACGGUGAGGGAUGAAAGCUGGGGGAGCAAACCGGAUUAGAUACCCGGGUAGUCCCAGCCGUAAACGAUGCAGACUCGGUGAUGGGUUGGCUUCGCGCUAACCCAGUGCCGCAGGGAAGCCGUUAAGUCUGCCGCCUGGGUAGUACGGUCGCAAGACUGAAACUUAAAGGAAUUGGCGGGGGAGCACCACAAGGGGUGAAGCCUGCGGUUCAAUUGGAKUCAACGCCGGRA